GAUGAAGAACGCAGCGAAAUGCGAUAAGUAAUGUGAAUUGCAGAAUUCAGUGAAUCAUCGAAUCUUUGAACGCACAUUGCGCCCGCCAGUAUUCUGGCGGGCAUGCCUGUCCGAGCGUCAUUUCAACCCUCAGGCCCUGGUUGCCUGGUGUUGGGGCGCCGCGCACCCUCUGCGGGCGCGGGCCCCGAAAGUCAGUGGCGGGCUCGCCAGGACUCCGAGCGCAGUAAUUUUCUCUCGCUGUGGAGCGCCUGGUGGGUUACCAGCCGUAAAACACCCCAAAUUCCAAAGGUUGACCUCGGAUCAGGUAGGAAUACCCGCUGAACUUAAGCAUAUCAAUAAGCGGAGGA
Molecule: unclassified non-coding RNA, 347 nt
Filed under: soil metagenome
Description: partial contains 5.8S ribosomal RNA, internal transcribed spacer 2, and large subunit ribosomal RNA
Rfam family: 5.8S ribosomal RNA (bases 1-120)
Source: RNAcentral